CUCGUAGGUGGCCAACUAAGUCAGACGUGAAAUCCCUCGGCUUAACCGGGGAACUGCGUCUGAUACUGGAUGGCUUGAGGUUGGGAGAGGGAUGCGGAAUUCCAGGUGUAGCGGUGAAAUGCGUAGGUAUCUGGAGGAACACCGGUGGCGAAGGCGGCAUCCUGGACCAAUUCUGACGCUGAGGAGCGAAAGCCAGGGGAGCAAACG
This 207-nucleotide ribosomal RNA is filed under the name uncultured bacterium. RNAcentral's name for it is "partial 16S ribosomal RNA". It matches the Rfam family "Bacterial small subunit ribosomal RNA", at positions 568 to 774 of the family's 1533-position model. The record is from RNAcentral.